Molecule: ribosomal RNA, 101 nt
Filed under: Helicobacter pylori Hp P-13b
Lineage: Bacteria; Pseudomonadati; Campylobacterota; Epsilonproteobacteria; Campylobacterales; Helicobacteraceae
Description: partial 16S ribosomal RNA
Rfam family: Bacterial large subunit ribosomal RNA
Source: RNAcentral
AGCGAUAGCGAACAAGUACCGUGAGGGAAAGGUGAAAAGAACCGCAGUGAGCGGAGUGAAAUAGAACCUGAAACCAUCUGCUUACAAUCAUUCAGAGCCCU